GGAUUUUCUUGGUAUGUUUAUCAACACUCAAAGAAAUUGCAUUGCAAGCUCUGCUGUCUGAGAAAAUAAAUAAUUGCGCAAUUAACUAAUCAACUUGGAGAAUUUUUAAAAGGUUAAAAAUACAGCUUAACUUAACGUGCAUCGUGUUUAUUUAAAGUUAAACGUUCUCCAGGAAUUUUCAAAAAUGGAAGAAAUGUCGAUUUGAAUUCGUCGAUAAUUUGUGAUUAAAUUAUAAUCGUUAAAUGGUCGUGUUUUUAAUAAAAGAAUCAUGGAAGCUUUAAAUCUCAAUUUGAAACACGAUAUUCAAUCGCAACAAAGAUUAUUCGACAUUCUUCAGUCGUCCUCAUCCUCGGGGGGUGGAGGACCGCAUCAUGGUCACGGUCAUUCGGGAGGCAGCUCGUCGUCCUCCUCGAUUGAAUUUAUGCUCCGUUCUUACGAUCAUCAACAAGACCACGAUCUUAUCGCUGCCUUUAAUUUUAAUCAGUAUGCUAACAACAAUCAACAUCAUCAUCAUCAUCAACAACAACAACUUCCUCCUCCUCCACCACCCCCACAAGCGCCACAAACUCCGCCACAAAAUCAUAACACGACUAUUCCUUCUUCCUUGUCGUCAUCGUCUACGACAACCUCGUCCACCACGACAACUUCGCCAUCGACAUCUUUAUCAGCUUCGGAACAACAUCAACAUGACAUGAUGACUACGACGUUAGAACUCGAUCCGAACAUUAUCCUGCAAAAUUAUGUCAAUGACAAUUCAGACUUUGGGGAUGGGAGCAUCUCGUCAAAUUCUGGAAAAGGUCGUCCCCACUACUGCACGCAUUGCCAAGCCUCGUACAAAACAAGGACGCAUUUACGCCGCCACAUGGUCAUCCAUCUCCCCUCGCGACCUUAUCCUUGUGCCGAGUGCGGCAAGGGGUUCAAUCGUAAAGAGCACUUGAGCAAACAUAUGGAAGCCGUGCAUAGUGGAACGAAGCACGUGUGUCCAUUAUGCGAGAAAUCAAUCUCUAGAAAAGACCACUUGGCGAGACACGUUAAAAAUAUGCACCCCACCUACGCCGUCCUCCUGAACAAGGAAGAUUUCCUCUCACUCACCUCGUCCGCAACGUUAGCGAAGAUUGGCGUAGUAUCAAAUCGAACAAAAAUUGCACCUGCCCCAUCACCGACAAAGUCUUCUUCAAAUCCACGCUCCACAAAAGCCUCGCUCCGAAUCCCGGUAAUAAAUUCGCAACAACCUGGUGGUGGCAACCUGUCAGCCAGUCCGGACGGAAAGAAAUCUCUAAAUUCAUCCCCUCCACGUGAGGAUAAUAACGAUACGAGAAAUCGGUCAGCGUCUUCGUCCUCCUCGUUGUCAUCUUCUUGUUCUCGUCAAGAGGAAACGACGACCAAGUCCCAUCCGCAGCAGGGACAAGUGCAAUCUCAAAAUAGUUUACAAACUUUUCAUCAACUUGACUCUACUGGACCAAGCCUGUCGUACAGUACGACGAGCACGACCGUGACGAAAACCACCACAACAUCAUCACCUAAACUUCCAAAACCUCCGAAACGAUCACUCCUCCAACCAAAUGGAAACGGACUUGUCAGCCUCACAAAUUUGAGUCUAACGUUAGGCGGACAAAUUAAGGAAGCCCCCUUCGCCAAUUGUUCUCCAAACAAGAAACAGCAACUCAACAUGACCCUCCAAUGUCACGAAUGCGGAGUUACGUGUAACAACGAAAAAGAUUUAGCGACCCAUUUGAGAGGACACAAACCACAAAAUUUCCGCUGUCCCGAUUGUCCAAGGGCGUACACGAGAAGAGAAAAAUUGUCUGAACAUAUCCGUUGUUUUCAUCAGGGACAAAAAUUCAAGUGUGAACAUUGUGGAAAAGAGCUCUCUCGAAAAGAUCACGUCCUCCGCCACGUGCGAAGCAUUCAUCCGGACUUAUUAGCGUCUCGAUUUCAUGGGAUGAAUUCCACCGACAUCCCCGUGGAACACCUCGGCCUUCCUUUGCCCCUCGUCAUGAACGAGGAUGACCACGACCGCCUUUCCUCCAUUCCAAUGCCAACGACGAAACAGUCUCAUGGAAAUGGUGACGGGAGUAGCGGUGCGAUAACGAUCGCCUCCUCCUCCGCCAACGAUAUGGGCGUCCUUCUCCGCAGUAUUUGCCAAUAUUGUCUCAAAGUUUUCGGGACGAGUUACCAUUUGAGCAGACACAUAGAAUCCUGUCACAACGGGGACAUCCGUCCCUACCCGUGCCCCUCCUGUUCGAAACAGUUCAAACGGAAGGACCACCUCACAAAACAUAUCAAGUCACAUUGUCCCACGUUACGCGAGGGGGUAGUAACGCCACAUCGCCCUCGCACCAGCAGUGGCAGCAGCGGGUGCAAUAUUGUCAAAAAUGGGCCAGAACAACAUCGCCACGAUCAACAACAGGGCUUCGUCCCACAAAAAAGCCAAGCGGUCAGAAAUCCAUUUCAUCAUCACGACAAUGCCAAGGAGUCUUCCGGGAGUAAGAGAAAAGUCAAAUCGGAACGAAUCCCAUCCCGCAAAAAGGUUCGCAAGACUGAUCCCCCUCAAUCAACUUAUCCUCCUCCUCCUCCACCCCCACAAAACGGGCCCCAUCUACUCGACGGCAUAAUGAAUCUGACCAACAAGGCGGACUCGAUCUCUGACGAAGAUUCCUCCUCGCAAGACUUCAAUCUCGCCAUGAUCUCGUCCUUCAUUUCCUCCUCGGCUGAAAACGUCGGCGGCGGCGCAGAACAAGACUUAUCUACCGCUUUAAUGCUCACCCAAGAAAAUGAUAACCACGACCACGACGAAGGUGAAGAAGUCGUCUCGGUUAUCGUACAUCAAGAUGAUAACCACCACGACGACUUAGUACAUCCCCUCCUCUCCCCACAGUCUUCGCCGACCAGCUCGUCGUCCCUAUUUCGGUGUGGCCACUGCCAAAAAGAAUUCUCCUCACGGGAUCAACUUCUCGACCAUUUGCAAGAUCACAGUGCGGAUGAUUCGUCCUCAAAUUCGUCGCCAUUGCUAAAUAGUAAUCAUGACGUGCAGCAAAGACGACAUCAUCAUCACGCCGACCGGCAUCACGAGGGACUCAGAAGUAUACAAUUUUCUAAUUAUUGAGGACAUCAUAAACUUGGACAUCACAGCCUUUAAUAUUUAGUCACGAGAUUGUAGAGGUCUUCACUCAUGUACAAAUUAGUUUAACUUAUCUCGUCCUACGUUAAAAAUGUCAGCUAAAUAUGCCGCUAAAAAACCUGGGUGCCUUAACUAAUGGCUUAUCCAGACUAAUUAAUUAACUUAUCAUAUUUAAAUUUCUACCUGUACAUACAAAUAUAAAUGACUCAUAAUUAACAUAAUUAAUUAGUAUUAUACAUACAAAAAUGUAUACUAAAAAUGGAAAUAUUUUGGUCCCCAUUUGGGUAACAAUUGACUACUUUUUCAAUGCCAAACUUGUGUAUCAUUUUUACUCAGAAAUUAUUGUACAAAUUCGUACACACAGUACGAAAAGUAGAUAUUUAUCGUUCUUUUUUUGCUAUGUAUUCAUUAAAUUUGUGUAUGUAUGUACCACCGCUCGCUAUUUAAUACUUAAUUUAGUAUUUAUUUAACAACCCGUUAUUAACAAUCAGUUACAGAAACGUAUUGUUCAUUUGUAGUAAUAAUGUAAUGCAUGUAAUAAUUUACAUAAAUAUUUAUGUGUCCACUAAGUUGUAGAAAUUCUUAUGUACCGAUUUAGUUGCAAUAAAAUUCUUAACAAAAUGAUAAAAAUUUCCAACUAGCAAAA
RNA transcript from Folsomia candida, 3767 nucleotides. It is a transcript of the gene named zinc finger protein 646, with no coding region annotated. Lineage: Eukaryota; Metazoa; Arthropoda; Collembola; Entomobryomorpha; Isotomidae. The record is from RefSeq and is a predicted model, not a curated record. The transcript is spliced from 13 exons.